CUGAGAGCCGCUUCUGUCAUUAACGAAGGGGGUGGGGUGUCACUUUCUGGAACAAAACUUUGGACCAGUCAAAAAGAUAAUAAUAUUGAUACUUAUUACAGCAAACACUUAUAUAGUUAAGUGCUUUACAAACUUUAUUUAAAGCAACAGUGUGAGAUAUAGGUACUAUGAUUAUGCCUCCUUACAGGUGAGGAAACCAAGGCAGAAAAAAGCUGAGUAGCACACUGAAGGGAUUGGAGGAUAAUGACUGCAGAGCUUGACCACUUCUCUCCAUAGAAGGAAACUGCCUCUGGUGCCGGUGCCAUUGGGCUAUAACAGAAUAGCUUCUGCCAUUCUCAAGGCCCCAUAAUGGAAUUAAACCACAGUGGUGAUGCUUCUAACAUGUGGAUUUGGAGUGAGUGACAACCUGGUCCAGUGUAAGAUUCAAUAUUCUUCUGGCAUUUUACAUCCAUACAAGGAGAGAAAAUUAAAUCUAUUAACCCUUCCAAUCAUUUGGAUCAUGAAUAGCAUAGACAACAUCAAUCAGGAAAUCAGCAAGGUGACCCCGUCACACCUACAUGUAUGCA
This 566-nucleotide long non-coding RNA is filed under the name Sus scrofa (pig). Its description in RNAcentral is "lncRNA (ENSSSCG00050040412.1)". Lineage: Eukaryota; Metazoa; Chordata; Mammalia; Artiodactyla; Suidae. The record is from RNAcentral.